This 253-nucleotide ribosomal RNA is filed under the name uncultured bacterium. RNAcentral's name for it is "partial 16S ribosomal RNA". It matches the Rfam family "Bacterial small subunit ribosomal RNA", at positions 524 to 776 of the family's 1533-position model. The record is from RNAcentral.
UACGGGGGGGGCAAGCGUUGUUCGGAAUUACUGGGCGUAAAGAGCUCGUAGGCGGCCUGUCGCGUCUGCUGUGAAAUCCCGGGGCUUAACCCCGGGCGUGCAGUGGAUACGGGCUGGCUGGAGGCAGGCAGGGGAGAACGGAAUUCCCGGUGUAGCGGUGAAAUGCGCAGAUAUCGGGAGGAACACCGGUGGCGAAGGCGGUUCUCUGGGCCUGUACUGACGCUGAGGAGCGAAAGCGUGGGGAGCGAACAGG